Molecule: ribosomal RNA, 898 nt
Filed under: Chaetomium arcuatum
Lineage: Eukaryota; Fungi; Ascomycota; Sordariomycetes; Sordariales; Chaetomiaceae
Description: LSU rRNA
Rfam family: Eukaryotic large subunit ribosomal RNA
Source: RNAcentral
GCAUAUCAAUAAGCGGAGGAAAAGAAACCAACAGGGAUUGCCCUAGUAACGGCGAGUGAAGCGGCAACAGCUCAAAUUUGAAAUCUGGCUUCGGCCCGAGUUGUAAUUUGUAGAGGAAGCUUUAGGCGCGGCACCUUCUGAGUCCCCUGGAACGGGGCGCCAAAGAGGGUGAGAGCCCCGUAUAGUUGGAUGCCUAGCCUGUGUAAAGCUCCUUCGACGAGUCGAGUAGUUUGGGAAUGCUGCUCAAAAUGGGAGGUAAAUUUCUUCUAAAGCUAAAUACCGGCCAGAGACCGAUAGCGCACAAGUAGAGUGAUCGAAAGAUGAAAAGCACUUUGAAAAGAGGGUUAAAUAGCACGUGAAAUUGUUGAAAGGGAAGCGCUUGUGACCAGACUUGCGCCAGGCUGAUCAUCCGGUGUUCUCACCGGUGCACUCUGCCCGGCGCAGGCCAGCAUCGGUUCUCGCGGGGGGAUAAAGGCUCCGGGAACGUAGCUCCUCCGGGAGUGUUAUAGCCCGGGGCGUAAUGCCCUCGCGGGGACCGAGGACCGCGCAUCUUGCAAGGAUGCUGGCGUAAUGGUCACCAGCGACCCGUCUUGAAACACGGACCAAGGAGUCAAGGUUUUGCGCGAGUGUUUGGGUGUAAAACCCGCACGCGUAAUGAAAGUGAACGUAGGUGAGAGCUUCGGCGCAUCAUCGACCGAUCCUGAUGUAUUCGGAUGGAUUUGAGUAGGAGCGUUAAGCCUUGGACCCGAAAGAUGGUGAACUAUGCUUGGAUAGGGUGAAGCCAGAGGAAACUCUGGUGGAGGCUCGCAGCGGUUCUGACGUGCAAAUCGAUCGUCAAAUCUGAGCAUGGGGGCGAAAGACUAAUCGAACCAUCUAGUAGCUGGUUACCGCCGAAGUU